This 468-nucleotide ribosomal RNA is filed under the name uncultured Borrelia sp. Its description in RNAcentral is "bacterial SSU rRNA". It matches the Rfam family "Bacterial small subunit ribosomal RNA", at positions 90 to 544 of the family's 1533-position model. The record is from RNAcentral. Lineage: Bacteria; Pseudomonadati; Spirochaetota; Spirochaetia; Spirochaetales; Borreliaceae.
AUUCAGUGACGAACGGGUGAGUAACGCGUGGAUGAUCUACCUAUGAGAUGGGGAUAACUAUUAGAAAUAGUAGCUAAUACCGAAUAAGGUCAGUUAAUUUGUUAAUUGAUGAAAGGAAGCCUUUAAAGCUUCGCUUGUAGAUGAGUCUGCGUCUUAUUAGCUAGUUGGUAGGGUAAAUGCCUACCAAGGCAAUGAUAAGUAACCGGCCUGAGAGGGUGAACGGUCACACUGGAACUGAGAUACGGUCCAGACUCCUACGGGAGGCAGCAGCUAAGAAUCUUCCGCAAUGGGCGAAAGCCUGACGGAGCGACACUGCGUGAAUGAAGAAGGUCGAAAGAUUGUAAAAUUCUUUUAUAAAUGAGGAAUAAGCUUUGUAGGAAAUGACAAAGUGAUGACGUUAAUUUAUGAAUAAGCCCCGGCUAAUUACGUGCCAGCAGCCGCGGUAAUACGUAAGGGGCAGCGUUGUAA